Molecule: ribosomal RNA, 253 nt
Filed under: uncultured bacterium
Lineage: Bacteria
Description: partial 16S ribosomal RNA
Rfam family: Bacterial small subunit ribosomal RNA
Source: RNAcentral
UACGUAGGGCGCAAGCGUUGUCCGGAAUUAUUGGGCGUAAAGAGCUCGUAGGCGGCUUGUCACGUCGAUUGUGAAAGCCCGAGGCUUAACCUCGGGUCUGCAGUCGAUACGGGCUAGCUAGAGUGUGGUAGGGGAGAUCGGAAUUCCUGGUGUAGCGGUGAAAUGCGUAGAUAUCUGGAGGAACACCGGUGGCGAAGGCGGCAUCCUGGACCGAGAUUGACGCUGAGGCGCGAAAGCCAGGGGAGCAAACGGG